CUUGUUGUUCCUCAUACAUAACAAGGCAUACAGCUCCCACAUCUGCGUCUUUGACUGACUGGUCUCCAUGCUUUACAUUCCAGGUGAAAGAGAGGGAAAGGGAAGAGAGAAGAAUAAGCAUUUAUUAUGUGCCUACUAUGUGCCAAGGCUCCAUGUCAAACACUUACUUCUGGUGGCUCCUUUGUGAAAUCAUCCCAUGUUUCUCUGAAUGCCUCCUAUUUGCCAUUUCCUCCUACACAGAUGAGGAAAUUGAGGCACACAGAGAUGAAGUGACAUGCUCAGGAUCAAUAUCUAAGGGACUCACAAUCUAUAAC
Long non-coding RNA from Monodelphis domestica (gray short-tailed opossum), 314 nucleotides. The record is from Ensembl. NCBI's taxonomy places the organism in Eukaryota, Metazoa, Chordata, Mammalia, Didelphimorphia, Didelphidae.